RNAcentral lists this transfer RNA (75 nucleotides) under Acidocella sp. Its description in RNAcentral is "tRNA-Gly". It matches the Rfam family "tRNA". Rfam says of the family: Transfer RNA (tRNA) molecules are approximately 80 nucleotides in length. Lineage: Bacteria; Pseudomonadati; Pseudomonadota; Alphaproteobacteria; Acetobacterales; Acidocellaceae. The record is from RNAcentral.
GCGUGCGUAGCUCAGGGGUAGAGCACAACCUUGCCAAGGUUGGGGUCGUGGGUUCGAAUCCCAUCGCCCGCUCCA